RNAcentral lists this ribosomal RNA (468 nucleotides) under uncultured bacterium. Its description in RNAcentral is "partial 16S ribosomal RNA". It matches the Rfam family "Bacterial small subunit ribosomal RNA", at positions 28 to 507 of the family's 1533-position model. The record is from RNAcentral.
GACGAACGCUGGCGGCGUGCUUAACACAUGCAAGUCGAACGGAAAGGCCCUGCUUUUGUGGUGUGCUCGAGUGGCGAACGGGUGAGUAACACGUGAGUAACCUGCCCUUGACUUUGGGAUAACUUCAGGAAACUGGGGCUAAUACCGGAUAGGAGCUCCUGCUGCAUGGUGGGGGUUGGAAAGUUUCGGCGGUUGUGGAUGGACUCGCGGCUUAUCAGCUUGUUGGUGGGGUAGUGGCUUACCAAGGCUUUGACGGGUAGCCGGCCUGAGAGGGGGACCGGCCCAAUUGGGACUGAGAUACGGCCCAGACUCCUAAGGGAGGCAGCAGUGGGGAAUAUUGCCCAAUGGGCGGAAGCCUGAUGAAGCAACGCCGCGUGCGGGAUGACGGCCUUCGGGUUGUAAACCGCUUUCGCCUGUGACGAAGCGUGAGUGACGGUAAUGGGUAAAGAAGCACCGGCUAACUACGUG